Molecule: ribosomal RNA, 1372 nt
Filed under: uncultured bacterium
Lineage: Bacteria
Description: bacterial SSU rRNA
Rfam family: Bacterial small subunit ribosomal RNA
Source: RNAcentral
GAUGAACGCUGGCGGCGUGCCUAAUACAUGCAAGUCGAGCGAACGGACGAGAAGCUUGCUUCUCUGAUGUUAGCGGCGGACGGGUGAGUAACACGUGGAUAACCUACCUAUAAGACUGGGAUAACUUCGGGAAACCGGAGCUAAUACCGGAUAAUAUUUUGAACCGCAUGGUUCAAAAGUGAAAGACGGUCUUGCUGUCACUUAUAGAUGGAUCCGCGCUGCAUUAGCUAGUUGGUAAGGUAACGGCUUACCAAGGCAACGAUGCAUAGCCGACCUGAGAGGGUGAUCGGCCACACUGGAACUGAGACACGGUCCAGACUCCUACGGGAGGCAGCAGUAGGGAAUCUUCCGCAAUGGGCGAAAGCCUGACGGAGCAACGCCGCGUGAGUGAUGAAGGUCUUCGGAUCGUAAAACUCUGUUAUUAGGGAAGAACAUAUGUGUAAGUAACUGUGCACAUCUUGACGGUACCUAAUCAGAAAGCCACGGCUAACUACGUGCCAGCAGCCGCGGUAAUACGUAGGUGGCAAGCGUUAUCCGGAAUUAUUGGGCGUAAAGCGCGCGUAGGCGGUUUUUUAAGUCUGAUGUGAAAGCCCACGGCUCAACCGUGGAGGGUCAUUGGAAACUGGAAAACUUGAGUGCAGAAGAGGAAAGUGGAAUUCCAUGUGUAGCGGUGAAAUGCGCAGAGAUAUGGAGGAACACCAGUGGCGAAGGCGACUUUCUGGUCUGUAACUGACGCUGAUGUGCGAAAGCGUGGGGAUCAAACAGGAUUAGAUACCCUGGUAGUCCACGCCGUAAACGAUGAGUGCUAAGUGUUAGGGGGUUUCCGCCCCUUAGUGCUGCAGCUAACGCAUUAAGCACUCCGCCUGGGGAGUACGACCGCAAGGUCGAAACUCAAAGGAAUUGACGGGGACCCGCACAAGCGGUGGAGCAUGUGGUUUAAUUCGAAGCAACGCGAAGAACCUUACCAAAUCUUGACAUCCUUUGACAACUCUAGAGAUAGAGCCUUCCCCUUCGGGGGACAAAGUGACAGGUGGUGCAUGGUUGUCGUCAGCUCGUGUCGUGAGAUGUUGGGUUAAGUCCCGCAACGAGCGCAACCCUUAAGCUUAGUUGCCAUCAUUAAGUUGGGCACUCUAAGUUGACUGCCGGUGACAAACCGGAGGAAGGUGGGGAUGACGUCAAAUCAUCAUGCCCCUUAUGAUUUGGGCUACACACGUGCUACAAUGGACAAUACAAAGGGCAGCGAAACCGCGAGGUCAAGCAAAUCCCAUAAAGUUGUUCUCAGUCCGGAUUGUAGUCUGCAACUCGACUACAUGAAGCUGGAAUCGCUAGUAAUCGUAGAUCAGCAUGCUACGGUGAAUACGUUCCCGGGUCU